RNAcentral lists this transfer RNA (57 nucleotides) under Cricetulus griseus (Chinese hamster). It matches the Rfam family "tRNA", at positions 9 to 63 of the family's 71-position model. Rfam says of the family: Transfer RNA (tRNA) molecules are approximately 80 nucleotides in length. The record is from Rfam by way of RNAcentral. Lineage: Eukaryota; Metazoa; Chordata; Mammalia; Rodentia; Cricetidae.
AGCUCAGUCAGUAGAGCAUGAAACUCUUAAUCUCAGGGUCGUGGGUUCGUGCCCCAU